GCGUCAUCACAUCGAGUAGUAUAACAAAAUCAUCACUGUAUUGUGUUUCGUUAGAUAAAGUUCUUUAAUUUGAUUCGCAAUUUAACUAAUUCAAAUUAAACCGAUUCUUUAAACCCAACUUGUCUAGACAAAUGGAGUAAACUUUUUAUCUUUCGAACGAAAUUAUGCAUUAUUUUUUUUUAUCAAUUGCUUCAAUAUUCAUUCGAAGGGAAACUUAUUGUCCACUUAUCGAUUUGUUAAAUCAGCUUAUAAUUCUGUGUUUCCUGUUUAAACAGUACGAAGGUAUGCCGAUAAAUUUGACGACAUUUGUAUAGUUAGUCUCUCCCUUUUUGUAACUUAACAUCCUCUACUUCUACGUCAUGCCAUCACAAAGAAAAUAAUGUAACAAAUGUUUCAGACUUGGAUUUGAAAAUACUUCCAAUUUGCAUGAGAUUCAAAAGUGGCUUUUUUGACAAUUUUGUUAGGUGCUGUUGGUGGGGCUGUUCUGCUAUCUUGUUUGCCAGGCACCAUUCUAUGCCUCCUA
Non-coding RNA from Parasteatoda tepidariorum (common house spider), 523 nucleotides. The record is from RefSeq and is a predicted model, not a curated record. NCBI's taxonomy places the organism in Eukaryota, Metazoa, Arthropoda, Arachnida, Araneae, Theridiidae.